Mauremys reevesii (Reeves's turtle) is the source of this 439-nucleotide long non-coding RNA. RefSeq lists it as uncharacterized. The transcript has 2 exons. NCBI's taxonomy places the organism in Eukaryota, Metazoa, Chordata, Testudines, Geoemydidae. The record is from RefSeq and is a predicted model, not a curated record.
UUAAUCCUACCACCAAUAGCAGCCUUUCCUGUUCUCAAGAGAGUGCCCAGUUGGAGUGGGGAAGGGAAACUCAGUCUGUGUUGUUUUGUUUUGGCUGAAAUUCACCCUUGUGCACAGGACUUGGGCAAUGUCGCACCAGUGGAUAGGCCAUCGGCAAUGAGGAUCAAACCUGAUAUGUCUGGAUCUUUACACCUGCACUAAAUUCAAUGGAUCUGCACCAAUUUACACUCCUAUGACUGAGAAGGGGAUCUCCAGCAGCAGUAAAUGACAGGCCAGGCAGUUAAGGCAGGCAGAAUGCGCUCCAGUCCUACCAGCUAAAAGGAGUGAUGGGAAGCAUUGCUGCUGUAAUUCAUACUCUGGUGAAAUGUCUCUGCUUUUAGUCUGUUAGACAGGGUGGAACGAAAGGCAAUGAUCAAUACAAACUACCCUUGCAUGACAA